Molecule: transfer RNA, 69 nt
Filed under: Polyrhachis dives
Lineage: Eukaryota; Metazoa; Arthropoda; Insecta; Hymenoptera; Formicidae
Description: tRNA-Trp
Source: RNAcentral
AAGAUUUUAAGUUAAUUUUUAAACUUUAAACUUUCAAAGUUUAGAUUAUAAUUUUUUUUAUAAAUCUUA